Molecule: long non-coding RNA, 913 nt
Organism: Fundulus heteroclitus (mummichog)
Lineage: Eukaryota; Metazoa; Chordata; Actinopteri; Cyprinodontiformes; Fundulidae
Exons: 2
Source: RefSeq, a predicted model, not a curated record
UGAACGGAUCCAAACCUGGCCGGUAGAUCUCAUUGAGGAUGAGCGCGCUUUAUGCUCGCUGGGUGUUUCUGGUGCAUCCAAUAAAGGCUGCAGGCUGACAGCGAGCGAGCGGCCGGGCAGCUGCGCUAAAAUCUGCAUAUCGAUGGCAGAGACGCACACGCGCCAAGAAAACAACCGCGCGCACAUCCGCGCUCUCAUCUCGCUCUUCGCUCGAGAAGGGGGCGUGUGGGACUGGCACGGACUCAGACCCUCCCCUCAUUUGCAUCAGUCAGUGGAAGAAGCUGAGAACGGCGGCGCGCGGAGGAGCACGGACCCGGAGGGGGAAAGUUGUUUUACGAGAUUAUUUUACUUUUCUUUGCCAUAUAGGCGUCCUGCCGCUGCUGAAACGUCCAAGAGCUGAGCGUUGUCCCCGCCUCUCGGUAGUCAGGGUUUGAGCGGUGACAGCGCGCUGAAUGGGAGCUGGAGAGAUCAGCUCUCAGCACGGGGAGAGGACUUGUCUGAGCGCCGAGCUGAAGAGCCGCUCUCCGGGCUGCGGCUGUGCGUCUUUACGCGGGGCUGGCCCGGACUCUGCGGGCGGUUCGAACUUGGGGAGGGAGUAAGUUUGGCUCGCUUUUGGAAGAGCUUCUGUCAUUUUGAAAAUAGAAAAAAAAAAAAAGAAGAAAUCGGAGUAAAGCCUGCAGGAUCGCGCACUUUGUUCUGUUCUGCUCUAUUUGGAAGCGGCAAGAUAGGAGAGCUGGAUGCCUGCCGACGGUCCGCGAUUCAUCAAGACGCAGCCAAGGAUUAUAUCCAUCCUCCAACGGAGUAAGGACGCAAGGUGGAGGGGCGGAGGACUCUCAUCUUUCGGCGUCUCCGGAGUGGAAAUGGCAAGGCGGGCGCUGGAGAGAGGAGAGCAGCCGGCGCAGGAGAGGAGACG